AAGAUAAUACUUUUACAGAUCAUUUCUAUAGUUUGUUUUACGGAGAAAGGAUUAAAGUUGAUCGAAUCGCUAACCCACGAGGAUGAGUUUAGGCGUCCUCUUCUGAGCGUGAAGCAGAGUUUGGGAGUUCCAUUUGGGACGACCAAGCUCAUUGAUGACCGUUCAUCUGAGACUAAAUUUUGGAUGGAGGAGACAAUGCAAUCUAAUUGGU
Small nucleolar RNA from Anneissia japonica, 211 nucleotides. RefSeq annotates it as small nucleolar RNA U3. Lineage: Eukaryota; Metazoa; Echinodermata; Crinoidea; Comatulida; Comatulidae. The record is from RefSeq and is a predicted model, not a curated record. The transcript has a single exon.